CUGACAGCCCUGAAGUGUAAAAUCCCUUCUUUAUCCACAGAACAGGGGCAGCCUGGACAGCAGCAAUGCAAGUUGCUGCUGUGUCUCUGACAUUAUGCCCAAACCUUGCCCUGAAAGAACUGUGGCCUUGUUCCAUAAUCUCUUAGGGUUUCAGUUUUCUGGUAUAACUGUGAAUAAUGCUGUCAAUUAGCGUCUUUA
RNAcentral lists this small RNA (198 nucleotides) under Crocodylus porosus (Australian saltwater crocodile). RNAcentral's name for it is "TUC338 (ENSCPRG00005016387.1)". The record is from RNAcentral. Lineage: Eukaryota; Metazoa; Chordata; Crocodylia; Crocodylidae.